This 975-nucleotide long non-coding RNA is filed under the name Homo sapiens (human). RNAcentral's name for it is "HSALNT0329858". Lineage: Eukaryota; Metazoa; Chordata; Mammalia; Primates; Hominidae. The record is from RNAcentral.
GUACCGGAAGUGCUAGCCACAGCGACUUCAGAGUCUUGCUCUGUCACCUACACUGGAAUUCAGUGGCACAGUCUCAGCUCAGCUCACUGCAACCUCCACCUCCCGGGUUCAAGUGAUUCUCAUACCUCAGCCUCCUGAGUAGCUGGGAUUACAGAGACCUGGACUUAAUCUCAGCUGGUGUACAGAGUUCUCUCCAAAAACAAGUGGCCUACUUCACAUUCAGUGAAUUGAUAUAUUCUUAUUUUAAGUUAUCAGACAUGUAUAAUGAAGAUCACUAUGACAGAGAGGAGAAAGAGAAAGGAAAGGAUGACCAGAGAAAUGACCAAAUAUUUAGUGGAUGGAUUUACCUUUCUAGAAUGCUUGGUUGGAUCCUGGAACUGCAGGAAAAAAAGUCCUUGGGAAUUGAGAAGCCAAUGAGAUUAGUCGUUCAAGCUGAAGUCAUUCUAUCUGCUAGCUGUCUGGAGCCACUGAAGCUGUGGGCGAACAGCAACAAGUUUAAGCUACAUCUGCACACUCUGCGGUCCAUCCAGAGACCAAGAAAGAAGCACAAGGAUCCUGCAGAGUCUUCCGAAGCCCAAGCCAAAUAUAUGAGGCAGGGAGCUAGAGAAUGUGGAGGAAGUGGUCAGUAGGAAAAGGAAUGGGAACAGACAUUCUCCUUCAGAAACUUGAGGUCCAGUCCCUGAACUUUAGCUGGCCCCAAAACUUGAGCAAGCUCUAAAAAGCAGAACAUCUCCCACUUAACAGUUUAUUCUGAGAACUGGCCAACCACAGGAGGGAAAAUCAUAUCUCCAGUUAAAGUGCCCUGAUCAUGCCAUCUGCUCAUCCUACCCCCUUUGCCCUGCUCCCACACAAAGUUCCUGCUAGCCCUGUUUACGUCUUCUUUUUUAAACUCUUUUUUUAAAAUUUGAUUUUUAGACAUUUGAAGAUUUCCAUGGUCAGAGGGUCUGUAAUAGUCUUUUUUGAAUAAAGCUGCUC